RNAcentral lists this ribosomal RNA (497 nucleotides) under uncultured bacterium. Its description in RNAcentral is "partial 16S ribosomal RNA". It matches the Rfam family "Bacterial small subunit ribosomal RNA", at positions 28 to 507 of the family's 1533-position model. The record is from RNAcentral.
GAUGAACGCUGGCGGCGUGCCUAAUACAUGCAAGUCGAGCGAACGGACGAGAAGCUUGCUUCUCUGAUGUUAGCGGCGGACGGGUGAGUAACACGUGGAUAACCUACCUAUAAGACUGGGAUAACUUGGGGAAACCGGAGCUAAUACCGGAUAAUAUUUUGAACCGCAUGGUUCAAUAGUGAAAGACGGUCUUGCUGUCACUUAUAGAUGGAUCCGCGCUGCAUUAGCUAGUUGGUAAGGUAACGGCUUACCAAGGCAACGAUGCAUAGCCGACCUGAGAGGGUGAUCGGCCACACUGGAACUGGGAAACGCCCCAGACUCCUACGGGAGGCAGCAGGAGGGAAUCUUCCGCAAGGGGCGAAAGCCUGACGGAGCAACGCCGCGUGAGUGAUGAAGGUCUUCGGAUCGUAAAACUCUGUUAGUAGGGAAGAACAUAUGUGUAAGUAACUGUGCACAUCGUGACGGUACCUAAUCAGAAAGCCACGGCUAACUACGUG